GCCUGGGUGGCUCAGUUGGUUAAGCAUCUGACUUAACUCAGGUCAUGAUCUCGCAGUUUGUGGGUUCGAGCCCCACGUCGGGCU
RNAcentral lists this transfer RNA (84 nucleotides) under Felis catus (domestic cat). It matches the Rfam family "tRNA". Rfam says of the family: Transfer RNA (tRNA) molecules are approximately 80 nucleotides in length. The record is from Rfam by way of RNAcentral. Lineage: Eukaryota; Metazoa; Chordata; Mammalia; Carnivora; Felidae.